This 403-nucleotide ribosomal RNA is filed under the name uncultured prokaryote. Its description in RNAcentral is "partial 16S ribosomal RNA". The record is from RNAcentral.
CCCUAUGGGGUGCGAACGAGUGUCCGGCUCAGACUGAUUUGCAGGCUCACCGACCCAUUGAACGACGAGCUACCAUCUCGACGCGACUACCAACAAAGGAUAAUAUGAACUGAAGGCCAUUUUCAUGGUACGGGGUGCCGCCCCGCGCCAUGGGGACUGAUUUCCAGACGUACGCGUGUGGGUUGGUGGCGGUCCGCCCACAACUCAGCGUUACUUCUUUUCCUCGAGUUGGGGUUCCUGCUUAUCCCAGCCACCGCCGAGUACGGCAUAUAGCCUCACUUGAUUGGCAAGAUUGGCUAGUCGCAGGGAGACGAGUCCCUGUCGUGCCGCGUAGAGAGAACGUUGGGCAUCGAGAACGCUGAGGUAACUGUCAACACCUUUCGCGUACCGUAUGUCGGAGAGC